Molecule: long non-coding RNA, 653 nt
Organism: Tupaia belangeri chinensis (Chinese tree shrew)
Lineage: Eukaryota; Metazoa; Chordata; Mammalia; Scandentia; Tupaiidae
Exons: 2
Source: RefSeq, a predicted model, not a curated record
GGUGGAGCAAUGGGGGAGGGGCUCUCUCCUAAACUGUAUAUUCCAGACUCAUUCCCAACAUCCCGCGUCCUCCGCGCCUGGACCCCACUCUGAGAUCUAGCAGCCUCUCCAUGAAUACCGAAUGAGUCGUUGGAAGGCCAAGAAGGGGCGGGGAGCUGCAGGAGCCGGGGCGGAGGGCCCCGCGGCCAAUGGGGUGGGCUUCUGCCCUCUCCGCCCCUCUCUGACCCUCCCCUGGAGCCGGCGACCUAAGUGUCUGCAAAAGCAAACAGUGAAAGGGCAGGGGAGAGAAGGAAAACAAGAAAAAAGGCUGAAUGAAGAAGGAAGACAAAUGUCUGGACCACAGAGAUGAAUGUGGACACAAGCAACACAAGCAUCUCUAAAAUGAAGAGAUUGAGGACCACAUUGGAGGAUUCUGAAGCAGAAACUAUUGAACCCCAAAACAAUGUUCUAGGGAAAUCGAGAAAAAUGAGAAAAAAUUGAAGUAUCCAAUUUACCUGAAGCCAGAAGAGGAAAGAGAAGUCCCUCUGAAGCUUGCCACCAAAAGUAAACAAAAUGGCUCAGGGACUGACCCUGUAGCUUAGUGGAUACCUGCAGAGAAACCCACUCAUGUGCACAAGGAGACAAGAACAGAAAUGUCCAUUGCUCCAUGUAUA